GUACACACCGCCCGUCGCUCCUACCGAUUGAAUGAUCCGGUGAAGUGUUCGGAUUGCGUCGACGAUGGCGGUUCGCCGCCGUCGACGUCGUGAGAAGUUCAUUGAACCUUAUCAUUUAGAGGAAGGAGAAGUCGUAACAAGGUUACCGUAGGUGAACCUGCAGAAGGAUCA
This 171-nucleotide ribosomal RNA is filed under the name uncultured eukaryote. RNAcentral's name for it is "partial small subunit ribosomal RNA". It matches the Rfam family "Eukaryotic small subunit ribosomal RNA", at positions 1662 to 1828 of the family's 1831-position model. The record is from RNAcentral.